UUAUCGGAGAGUUUGAUCCUGGCUCAGGACGAACGCUGGCGGCGUGCCUAAUACAUGCAAGUCGAGCGGACAGAUGGGAGCUUGCUCCCUGAUGUUAGCGGCGGACGGGUGAGUAACACGUGGGUAACCUGCCUGUAAGACUGGGAUAACUCCGGGAAACCGGGGCUAAUACCGGAUGCUUGUUUGAACCGCAUGGUUCAGACAUAAAAGGUGGCUUCGGCUACCACUUACAGAUGGACCCGCGGCGCAUUAGCUAGUUGGUGAGGUAACGGCUCACCAAGGCGACGAUGCGUAGCCGAC
RNAcentral lists this ribosomal RNA (300 nucleotides) under Bacillus velezensis. RNAcentral describes it as "partial 16S ribosomal RNA". It matches the Rfam family "Bacterial small subunit ribosomal RNA", at positions 1 to 291 of the family's 1533-position model. The record is from RNAcentral. Lineage: Bacteria; Bacillati; Bacillota; Bacilli; Caryophanales; Bacillaceae.